This 381-nucleotide ribosomal RNA is filed under the name Mansonia uniformis. RNAcentral describes it as "eukaryotic LSU rRNA". The stretch from base 1 to 98 matches the Rfam family "5.8S ribosomal RNA", at positions 53 to 154 of the family's 154-position model. The record is from RNAcentral. Lineage: Eukaryota; Metazoa; Arthropoda; Insecta; Diptera; Culicidae.
AUGCGUGUCAGAUGUGACUGCAGGACACAUGAACACCGACAAGUUGAACGCAUAUUGCCCAUCGUACAACAGUACGAUGGACACAUUUUUGAGUGCCUAUAUUUAUAGAUUCAACCCGCUGCUUGCGCGCUGCUAUGACGCUUUACCAGCCAAACCUAGUGCGGCUGCUAAUCGUUUAAAUCUGUGUUAAGCCUUACCAUCACACAUGCGUGUAUGGUUGGGGCGCGACGCCGGUACAUCCUCCCACACUCCAGCCUGGCUUGGAUGCGAUGCGAUGGCCCACCGCUCGUCGACCCCUGGCGGCACACCACCACCACUGCACACUGCUGCACACACCAUGUAUCUUAAGUAGGCCUCAAAUAAUGUGUGACUACCCCCUAA